This is a non-coding RNA of Punica granatum (pomegranate), 468 nucleotides long. The record is from RefSeq and is a predicted model, not a curated record. NCBI's taxonomy places the organism in Eukaryota, Viridiplantae, Streptophyta, Magnoliopsida, Myrtales, Lythraceae.
CAACCGGGGCAAAAUUGGGUCUUCUUCUUCGUCUUCUUCAGAAGUUCUUUUUCAAUUAAACACAACCCCACUGAGUCACUGACUCCCUCUCCCUCCCCUCUUCGUCUUCUUCUUCCUCCGACGCUCCCUCCGACCCCUCCGCGACCUCCCAUCCUAGUUCCCAGUCGUCAGCGUUGCGUGAAGCCAGCUUCCCCUCCCCUCCACCAUUCGGUGGUCACUUCGAUCGGUGGCCGAAAGGACAUCCCUAAUCCGAGCCUUUUCCUGUGGGUACUCUUCUUAAGAGGCUCAAUUUGCGAUUUCCCACUUCUAUAUCGGAGUGAAAGAUGGAUAAUUGGAGUAGCAAUUGGACAUAUUGUAAGGACUUAUAGAUAUUUAGUUUUGUAGAUUGAUUGAUGAGACAUAAUAUUUUUUAUUAUUGUGAAUUAAUCUAAAUUUAUAUCGUAUUAUAUUUGCCGUGAUUACUGAUUA